UGGGAGAUAGUUAAGAAUGAUAUCAUGGCCCUCUUUGACCAUUUUCAUCGAGGAAAGCUUGAUGUGAAGCGCCUCAAUUAUGGGAUUAUUACCCUUUUGCCUAAAAUCUCUAGUGCUGAGAGAAUCCAGCAGUUUAGGCCGAUUUGCCUACUCAGUUGCCCCUAUAAGCUCAUAACUAAAGUGCUCGAUCGAAGGGUUGCUGUUUAUGCAGAUAAGCUAAUCAGCCUCACCCAGAAUGCUUUUGUGAAAGGUAGGAAUAUCAUGGAUGGAGUGCUUUCUCUCCAUGAGAUACUCAACUAUACACAUGUUAAGAAGAGAGUUGGGGUUGUUCUUAAACUAGAUUUUAAAAAAGCCUACGACAAAGUAAACUAGGAUUUCCUCCUUGAAUGUCACAAAAUGCGGGGCUUUAAUGAAACCUGGUGUGGGUGGAUUAAACAAAUCCUCUUCGAGAGAACAGUUAGCAUCAAGUUGAAUAACUGCACGGGCCCGUACUUUCAAAGUGCCAAGGGGGUUCGCCAGGGGGAUCCCCACUCCCCUUUCCCGUUCAACUUGGAUGUUGAAUGCCUCACCAAAAUGAUUAGAAACGCCCAGAAAGAAAAGAUGAUCACGGGUUUAGCAUCUGACCUUAUUCCUGAUGGGGUAGCUAUCUUGCAGUACGCAAACGACACCAUUAUUUUCCUGGAGGAUGAUGUGGAUAAGGCAGUCAACUUGAAGUUGCUGCUCUACCUAUUUGAGAUGAUGUCUGGAUUAAAAGUUAACUUUCAGAAAAGUGAAAUCCUCACUGUGGGAGGGGAUGAGAAUGUUGUCAAGAAAUAUGCAGAUCUGUUCAAUUCUGAGAUAGGCAGCUUCCCCAUUAAAUAUCUAGGCAUGCCUGUGAGCUAUACUAACCUGAAGAAUUCUGAUUGGGAGUUCAUUAUGAGUAAGUACUUGAAAAGAUUUGAGGCCUGGGUGGGUAAUGCGGCCUCGAUGGGGGGGGGCAUACCCUGUUAG
RNAcentral lists this ribosomal RNA (990 nucleotides) under Triticum aestivum (bread wheat). Its description in RNAcentral is "partial small subunit ribosomal RNA". Lineage: Eukaryota; Viridiplantae; Streptophyta; Magnoliopsida; Poales; Poaceae. The record is from RNAcentral.